RNAcentral lists this unclassified non-coding RNA (365 nucleotides) under soil metagenome. RNAcentral describes it as "partial contains 5.8S ribosomal RNA, internal transcribed spacer 2, and large subunit ribosomal RNA". The stretch from base 1 to 120 matches the Rfam family "5.8S ribosomal RNA", at positions 35 to 154 of the family's 154-position model. The record is from RNAcentral.
GAUGAAGAACGUAGCGAAAUGCGAUAAGUAAUGUGAAUUGCAGAAUUCAGUGAAUCAUCGAAUCUUUGAACGCACAUUGCACUCAUUAGUAUUCUAGUGAGUAUGCCUGUUCGAGCGUCAUUUCAACCCUUAAGCCUAGCUUAGUGUUGGGACUCUACCCUAACCGGUAGUUCCCCAAAAUCAGUUGGCGGAGUUCAGUCGGCUCUGAGUGUAGUAAUUUUCUCUCGCUUUAGAAGUCUUCUGGAUUACGGCCAGAAAGAGACGAGUCUCGCAUCUCGGUGCGUUUCUCAACUUUUUUUUACAAUUGUUGACCUCGGAUCAGGUAGGAAUACCCGCUGAACUUAAGCAUAUCAAUAAGCGGAGGA